This 467-nucleotide ribosomal RNA is filed under the name uncultured bacterium. RNAcentral describes it as "partial 16S ribosomal RNA". It matches the Rfam family "Bacterial small subunit ribosomal RNA", at positions 28 to 507 of the family's 1533-position model. The record is from RNAcentral.
GAUGAACGCUGGCGGCGCGCCUAGCACAUGCAAGUCGAACGAUUAAAGCACCUUCGGGUGUGUAUAAAGUGGCGAACGGCUGAGUAACACGUGGGCAACCUGCCCCUCUCAUUGGGAUAGCCACGGGAAACCGUGGAUAAUACCGAAUACUUCGGGACUUCCGCAUGGAAGACUCGAGAAAGCUCCGGCGGAGAGGGAUGGGCCCGCGGCCUGUUAGCUUGUUGGUGGGGUAAUGGCCUACCAAGGCAAUGAUGGGUAGCUGGGUUGAGAGACCGACCAGCCAGAUUGGGACUGAGACACGGCCCAGACUCCUACGGGAGGCAGCAGUGGGGAAUCUUGCACAAUGGGCGAAAGCCUGAUGCAGCGACGCCGCGUGCGGGAUGAAGGCCUUCGGGUUGUAAACCGCUUUCAGCAGGGACGAGGCGAAAGUGACGGUACCUGCAGAAGAAGCCCCGGCUAACUACGUG